RNAcentral lists this transfer RNA (74 nucleotides) under Gadus morhua (Atlantic cod). Its description in RNAcentral is "tRNA-Asn (GTT) (tRNA-Asn-GTT-13-1)". It matches the Rfam family "tRNA". From Rfam's summary of the family: Transfer RNA (tRNA) molecules are approximately 80 nucleotides in length. Their secondary structure includes four short double-helical elements and three loops (D, anti-codon, and T loops). Lineage: Eukaryota; Metazoa; Chordata; Actinopteri; Gadiformes; Gadidae. The record is from Rfam by way of RNAcentral.
GUCUCUGUGGCGCAAUUGGUUAGCGCGUUGGACUGUUAAUCCAAAGCUUGGUGGUUCAAGCACACCCAGGGACG